CCUACGGGUGGCAGCAGUGAGGAAUAUUGGUCAAUGGACGCAAGUCUGAACCAGCCAUGCCGCGUGCAGGAUGACGGCUCUAUGAGUUGUAAACUGCUUUUGUACGAGGGUAAACCCCGAUACGUGUAUCGGGUUGCACGUAUCGUACGAAUAAGGAUCGGCUAACUCCGUGCCAGCAGCCGCGGUAAUACGGAGGAUCCGAGCGUUAUCCGGAUUUGUUGGGUUUAAGGGGUGCGUAGGCGGUUUGAUAAGUUAGAGGGGAAAGGUCGGGGCUAAAGCCGCAAACUGCCUGUAAUACGUUGGGACUAGAAAAUAGUUGGGGGGGGCGAAAGGUAUGGUGAACGGGGAAAAUGCU
RNAcentral lists this ribosomal RNA (355 nucleotides) under uncultured bacterium. RNAcentral's name for it is "partial 16S ribosomal RNA". It matches the Rfam family "Bacterial small subunit ribosomal RNA", at positions 338 to 691 of the family's 1533-position model. The record is from RNAcentral.